AUGCAAGGAAAAACAAACCCCAAACAAGCCAAAGCAUUUCUCUCUCUCUCUCUCUCUCAGCUCUGUUAUGUGCAGGUUCCCAGGAGUGGGGUGGGAGGACUCGAUGCAAGGCUGAAUCUGAAGUUCUGUGUCUUGCACGCGGGCUUCCUCUCCGGUGUGAUGUUCUCCUUCUUGUUAGGAUGCGGCCAGAAGGCUGUCGUCAGGUGCUUGGGCCAUACCUGCAGAACUGUAAGAAAGUGGCCUCUGUUCUUUGUAAGUUACCCGGUCCUGGGGGUUCUGCCACAGCCGCAGGACGCAGAGGCCCCCAGGCCCCAGCGGGCAGUCACCUCUCACUGGGCUUCCUCUUCCUCAGGAGACCUGUCCUGGCUGCCUGCAGGCCGAGAGGGGCUUCUGUGCCGCGAUAGCGCAGAUGUCAGGGUGGUCGUUGGCAGCCGUGGCGUGGGCUUCACUUGCUUACCUUGCACUCCUGACGCUGUCGGAGCGAACCCUUUGCUACGUUUAUCCAUCUCUGUGGGUGUCUCCUCCUGGUGGGUCACGAAUGCUCAUGGUGAAAAAAGCCACUUUUCUCUCUUCCUGAGACUUAAUGGCCUAUUUUUCUGAUCUUAAGAAAGGCAACAUGGGUUUUGGGAACUCAUCUUAUUGUAUUUCCACAAGACAGCCUAGGGUACUUACUGUGAUCCUUUUUACAGCUAACACAACAUUUUGAGAACUCCCGUAUGACGUUAACUCUUGCACUUACUUCGUGGGGUACAGGUAGGAUUUUGGGAGCCACCAGUCUGGUUUCAAAUGAAAUCCUUGACCGCACUUAUUUCUUUCAAUUUUACUUUCCCAUUAGGCAAGAACAUGGCUCAGAUGGAUGUGCUGGGGCACACGCACCAGGAACCCCUGAGCAGGGUGCGAUCACUCACCAUUAAUGCUGGCAAGGAUCAAAGCGACUCGAAGAAAUACAGCUACUUAAGGAUGGACGAUAAAAUUGAAUUCAUGAAGCAGUUCCUUCUCCAUGGGUGAUUUCUUGGCGCUGAAGCACUGGAACUGCAUGCAGACUACGAGCGUAGAACUCCACACUGCAGUUAGCACACUUUAGAGAACAGGUAUUGAAUUUUAGCUGAGUUGAGCAUCAUCUUUUUCAAUUCCAAGGACAGCUGUUAAAUCAUGAAAUAUUUUGAGGUACAAAGCUCUUGCCUGUAAGAGAUCUUUUCUUUGUUCCUUUCAGAUCGACAUCCAUGAAAUAUUAUGUGAAGGAGUUGAUACCCUUAAAAACCAGAAACUAUUUACUCACUAGCUUCAAGUUCCUAAUAAGUCUUCUAAAAAUCAAUGAUAGGGGCCGGCGCUGUGGCACAGUGGGCUGGGCCUCCACCUGCAGUGGCAGCAACCCAUGUGAGCACGGGUUUGAGUCCUGGCUACUCCACUUCUGAUCAAGUUCUAUGCUAUGGCCUGGGAAAGCAGUAAAAGAUGACCCAAGUCCUUGGGCCUCUGCACCCACGUGGGAGACCUGGAAGAAGCUCCAGGCUCUUGGCUUCAAAUUGGCUCAGCUCCGGUUGUUGUGGCCAUUUUGGGGAGUGAAUAGUAGAUGGGAGACCUUCUCUCUCUCCCUCUCUCUCUUUGUAAUUCUACCUCUCAAAAUAAAAAAAACUUUAAAAAAAAAAAAAAAAACA
Molecule: long non-coding RNA, 1655 nt
Organism: Oryctolagus cuniculus (rabbit)
Lineage: Eukaryota; Metazoa; Chordata; Mammalia; Lagomorpha; Leporidae
Source: Ensembl